This 1372-nucleotide ribosomal RNA is filed under the name Klebsiella pneumoniae. Its description in RNAcentral is "bacterial SSU rRNA". It matches the Rfam family "Bacterial small subunit ribosomal RNA", at positions 8 to 1379 of the family's 1533-position model. The record is from RNAcentral. Lineage: Bacteria; Pseudomonadati; Pseudomonadota; Gammaproteobacteria; Enterobacterales; Enterobacteriaceae.
AGAGUUUGAUCAUGGCUCAGAUUGAACGCUGGCGGCAGGCCUAACACAUGCAAGUCGAGCGGUAGCACAGAGAGCUUGCUCUCGGGUGACGAGCGGCGGACGGGUGAGUAAUGUCUGGGAAACUGCUUCGAUGGAGGGGGAUAACUACUGGAAACGGUAGCUAAUACCGCAUAACGUCGCAAGACCAAAGUGGGGGACCUUCGGGCCUCAUGCCAUCAGAUGUGCCCAGAUGGGAUUAGCUAGUAGGUGGGGUAACGGCUCACCUAGGCGACGAUCCCUAGCUGGUCUGAGAGGAUGACCAGCCACACUGGAACUGAGACACGGUCCAGACUCCUACGGGAGGCAGCAGUGGGGAAUAUUGCACAAUGGGCGCAAGCCUGAUGCAGCCAUGCCGCGUGUGUGAAAAGGCCUUCGGGUUGUAAAGCACUUUCAGCGGGGAGGAAGGCGGUGAGGUUAAAACCUCAUCGAUUGACGUUACCCGCAAAAGAAGCACCGGCUAACUCCGUGCCAGCAGCCGCGUAAUACGAGGGUGCAGCCUUAACCGAAUUACGGGCGUAAGCGCACGCAGGCGGUCUGUCAAGUCGGAUGUGAAAUCCCCGGGCUCAACCUUGGGAACUGCAUUCGAAACUGGCAGGCUAGAGUCUUGUAGAGGGGGGUAGAAUUCCAGGUGUAGCGGUGAAAUGCGUAGAGAUCUGGAGGAAUACCGGUGGCGAAGGCGGCCCCCUGGACAAAGACUGACGCUCAGGUGCGAAAGCGUGGGGAGCAAACAGGAUUAGAUACCCUGGUAGUCCACGCUGUAAACGAUGUCGAUUUGGAGGUUGUGCCCUUGAGGCGUGGCUUCCGGAGCUAACGCGUUAAAUCGACCGCCUGGGGAGUACGGCCGCAAGGUUAAAACUCAAAUGAAUUGACGGGGGCCCGCACAAGCGGUGGAGCAUGUGGUUUAAUUCGAUGCAACGCGAAGAACCUUACCUGGUCUUGACAUCCACAGAACUUUCCAGAGAUGGAUUGGUGCCUUCGGGAACUGUGAGACAGGUGCUGCAUGGCUGUCGUCAGCUCGUGUUGUGAAAUGUUGGGUUAAGUCCCGCAACGAGCGCAACCCUUAUCCUUUGUUGCCAGCGGUUAGGCCGGGAACUCAAAGGAGACUGCCAGUGAUAAACUGGAGGAAGGUGGGGAUGACGUCAAGUCAUCAUGGCCCUUACGACCAGGGCUACACACGUGCUACAAUGGCAUAUACAAAGAGAAGCGACCUCGCGAGAGCAAGCGGACCUCAUAAAGUAUGUCGUAGUCCGGAUUGGAGUCUGCAACUCGACUCCAUGAAGUCGGAAUCGCUAGUAAUCGUAGAUCAGAUGCUACGGUGAAUACGUUCCCGGGC